Molecule: signal recognition particle RNA, 299 nt
Filed under: Cebus imitator (Panamanian white-faced capuchin)
Lineage: Eukaryota; Metazoa; Chordata; Mammalia; Primates; Cebidae
Description: Metazoan signal recognition particle RNA (ENSCCAG00000004837.1)
Rfam family: Metazoan signal recognition particle RNA
About the family: The signal recognition particle (SRP) is a universally conserved ribonucleoprotein.
Source: RNAcentral
GCCGGGCAUGGUGGCGUGUGCCUAUAGUCUCAGCUACUCAGGAGGCUGAGGCAGGAGGAUCUCUUGAGUCCAGGAGUUCUGGGCUGUAGUGUGCUAUGCCGUUUGGGUGUCCGCACUAAGUUUGGCAUCAAUAUGGUGACCUCCCAAUAGCGGGGGACCACCAGGUUGCUUAAGGAGGGGUGAACCGGCCCAGGUCAGAAACGGAGCAGGUCAAAACUCCCGUGCUGAUCACUAGUGGGAUUGCGCCUGUGAAUGGCCACUGCACUCCAGCCUGGGCAACAUAGCAAGACCCUGUCUCU